This 253-nucleotide ribosomal RNA is filed under the name uncultured bacterium. RNAcentral's name for it is "partial 16S ribosomal RNA". It matches the Rfam family "Bacterial small subunit ribosomal RNA", at positions 524 to 776 of the family's 1533-position model. The record is from RNAcentral.
UACGUAGGGGGCAAGCGUUGUCCGGAAUUAUUGGGCGUAAAGAGCGUGUAGGCGGUCCGGUAAGUCAGCUGUGAAAGUCAAGGGCUCAACCCUUGAAUGCCGGUUGAUACUGUCGGGCUAGAGUCCGGAAGAGGCGAGUGGAAUUCCCGGUGUAGCGGUGAAAUGCGCAGAUAUCAGGAAGAACACCAAUGGCGAAGGCAGCUCUCUGGGACGGUACUGACGCUGAGACGCGAAAGCGUGGGGAGCAAACAGG